This 446-nucleotide ribosomal RNA is filed under the name uncultured bacterium. Its description in RNAcentral is "bacterial SSU rRNA". It matches the Rfam family "Bacterial small subunit ribosomal RNA", at positions 329 to 792 of the family's 1533-position model. The record is from RNAcentral.
GACCAGACUCCUACGGGAGGCAGCAGUGGGGAAUAUUGCACAAUGGGGGAAACCCUGAUGCAGCGACGCCGCGUGAGCGAUGAAGUAUUUCGGUAUGUAAAGCUCUAUCAGCAGGGAAGAAGAUGACGGUACCUGACUAAGAAGCCCCGGCUAACUACGUGCCAGCAGCCGCGGUAAUACGUAGGGGGCAAGCGUUAUCCGGAUUUACUGGGUAUAAAGGGAGCGUAGACGGCGAUGCAAGCCAGAUGUGAAAGCCCGGGGCUCAACCCCGGGACUGCAUUUGGAACUGUGUGGCUGGAGUGUCGGAGAGGCAGGCGGAAUUCCUAGUGUAGCGGUGAAAUGCGUAGAUAUUAGGAGGAACACCAGUGGCGAAGGCGGCCUGCUGGACGAUGACUGACGUUGAGGCUCGAAAGCGUGGCGAGCAAACAGGAUUAGAUACCCCUGUA